This 304-nucleotide ribosomal RNA is filed under the name Dikerogammarus villosus. RNAcentral describes it as "partial 16S ribosomal RNA". The record is from RNAcentral. Lineage: Eukaryota; Metazoa; Arthropoda; Malacostraca; Amphipoda; Gammaridae.
CGGUAUUUUGACCGUGCUAAGGUAGCAUAAUCAAUUGUUUUUUAAUUGAAAACUAGCAUGAACGGUUUAAUUAAUUUAAUUAGUUUGUAAAUUUUAAUAGUAAAUUAAAUAUAAAGUAAUAAUUCUUUAAUACAUUAGGGGACGAUAAGACCCUAAAAGCUUUAUGAAAAGUAUUUAAUUGGUGUUAGUGGUAAUAUUAAUUCACUGGGGCAGUGAAUUUAUUUGUAUUAAAAAAAAAAUUAAGGGGUCCUUUAAAUAAAGAUUUUAUGUGUAAGUUACUUUAGGGAUAACAGUGCAAUAUAUU